This 432-nucleotide unclassified non-coding RNA is filed under the name soil metagenome. RNAcentral describes it as "partial contains 5.8S ribosomal RNA, internal transcribed spacer 2, and large subunit ribosomal RNA". The stretch from base 1 to 120 matches the Rfam family "5.8S ribosomal RNA", at positions 35 to 154 of the family's 154-position model. The record is from RNAcentral.
GAUGAAGAACGUAGCGAAAUGCGAUACGUAAUGUGAAUUGCAGAAUUCAGUGAAUCAUCGAAUCUUUGAACGCAUAUUGCGCUCUCUGGUAUUCCGGAGAGCACGCUUGUUUGAGUAUCAGUAAACACCUCAACUUCCAUAUCUUUUUUGAAAUGGGAGUUGGACUUGAGUGAUCCCAACGCUUUUCCUCACCGAAAAGUGGCGGGUUACUUGAAAUGCAGGUGCAGCUGGACUUUUCUCUGAGCUAUAAGCAUAUCUAUUUAGUCUGCCUAAAAACAGAUUAUUACCUUUGCUGCAGCUAACAUAAAGGAGAUUAGUUCUUGUGCUGACUGAUGCAGGAUUCACAAAGACAGGCUUCGGCCGACUUUGUAAACUCGAUCUCAAAUCAAGUAAGACUACCCGCUGAACUUAAGCAUAUCAAUAAGCGGAGGA